AAAAUUUUAACCAAAAUUUUAAGUAUUUUAUAAAGAAGCAGAAAACAAAUGAUAGUUUUCUAAAUUGAAUGGCAUAUAUUAGAGUAAUAUUUAAAUAUCAUGCAUAAAAUAAAUAAGUUAACAAAUCUCAAACCUAAUAUAUAUAUAUAUAUAUAUAUAUAAGGAGGAUAAUACUAAAUACUUACAAAAAGAAAUUAAGAAAAAUUUUGAAUAAAUCUUAAAAGUAGAACUUUAAUAAAGGAAAUGACUUGCUAAUCCGAGGGUCUUUCGAUGCCAUUCUGAGUCCUAGUUCUCUGGCUACCUGAGAAGUAAGGAAAAUAGGGAAUGAGCUUGCAAUGUCUCAGUGUGAGAUUAAUCUUAAACCAUUACAUAUAAUCAAUCAAGCAAUAAAACAUAACAAUAACUGAUCAUCCCAAAUUUGAUUUCUGGUGACGAUGGUUGUUCAUUGGUCAUCUGUGACGGUGACUAUUACUACCACCCCAAUUUGGUCUGGUUUUGAUGGUGCUUUAAAACGGUCAUCCUAUCCUGUACAUAAACUAUACUCAUUGUAAGCAUCCCAUCGAAUCAGCUCUAAAACAACCAUCCUGUCAUGUACAUAAACUAUCAUCCCCGGUCGACCCGAUCUGGUGGCUUUUUAGCUUACCAUCUCGGCUUAUCCAUUUUGGAUGACAUUGUCGCUUAUUUCACGCAGUACUGACUUUUAGUGUCGACUUAAAUUGCCACUUUCUCCUAUGGAACUUCUCCAUCCUCCAUUCUCGAUUUCGUGUAAUUAUGCACAUUAACUUAGCAUAUUUAUGCUAUUUAUCAUCAAUUGAUGCAACAUUCAAUAUCUUAUGCUUUAGCAUUUAAAGGCAUGUGUUCAUGUAUUCAUUGAUCUCACAUGUAUACACAUAUAUUUUGUGUGCGUAAGAAAAAUAAUAUCAUAUGUAUAGUGAUUCGCAAAUAUCAUAUGUAGGGUUUGCAUAUAACAUGUAUAUAGAAUUCACAUGUAACAUAUAUAGAGUUUGCAUAUUUAAUCUAGGGUUCGCAUGUUUAACCUAGAGUUCGCAUAAAACAAAUUAGUUUCUUCUAAUUCAAUAAUUAAUUAUACAUAAUGACUUAAGUUUAGACCUUACACUUAAUUGGAAGACUUAAAAAACUUACCUUUGGUGAGAUUGAUGAUCUUCUUGAGAAAGGAUGGAUGAUUUUGAAGAUUUUGAAUUCCUUGAUUGAAAACCGAUUUAAUAAUGGAAGAGAAAAAGAAAGAACUCAAGAA
RNAcentral lists this long non-coding RNA (1255 nucleotides) under Gossypium barbadense (sea-island cotton). Its description in RNAcentral is "long non-coding RNA (GBAR_LNC006894)". Lineage: Eukaryota; Viridiplantae; Streptophyta; Magnoliopsida; Malvales; Malvaceae. The record is from RNAcentral.